UUAAUCAUUAUUCAGAACAUUGACAUUUUCUGUCCUGUUUUUCUUAAGGAGGCAAAGUUGUUUUAUGAAAUUUCCUAAACUGUUGGUUAUACAAAAUGUGCACGUAUUUACACUUGUAUGGAAAUUUGUCCCCAUUAUAAAAUAUCACACAAGUUCCCUUAAAAUUUGACAUCACAAUUUAAAAAUUUGAUGUCACAAUUAAAAAUCUAUUGUUGCUUGACAGCAGAAGGUUAUUCAGAGCAGAUUUAAGGUCAUUCAGAGAAGAAAUUCAUCUAAAUACCAAAAGUGUAAAUAUGUUUAUUAAUUAUUUUUGAUUUUUCAAUUUGUCCUUCUAGUCCUAUGGAAUUUUUUUUAUAUAUUACUUCUCUGAUUAUCUAUGAAAAUUGAUUUUUUAGAUAUGCUACUUUUUUGGUUUAUACAGAUUCAGUAUGCUGGUUUUCAAAUUUAAAUUGAUAUGAUAAUUUCAGAUUUGUAUUUCUUUUCAAGUUCAACACAUUGCUGACACUGCUUUGUGUAAUGGAAUACUUUCUUACUAUAAAAAAGGAAUGUAUACAAGUUUUUGAAUUAAUUAAGUAUGUUAAUUCUGUAUAUAUUCAUGUGUUUUUGAUGUACAAUGUAGACAUGUAUACACAUCUUUUCCAAACCGGUAAUGUACAU
RNAcentral lists this long non-coding RNA (657 nucleotides) under Mytilus galloprovincialis (Mediterranean mussel). Lineage: Eukaryota; Metazoa; Mollusca; Bivalvia; Mytilida; Mytilidae. The record is from RNAcentral.